RNAcentral lists this ribosomal RNA (600 nucleotides) under Celeribacter halophilus. RNAcentral's name for it is "bacterial SSU rRNA". It matches the Rfam family "Bacterial small subunit ribosomal RNA", at positions 94 to 730 of the family's 1533-position model. Lineage: Bacteria; Pseudomonadati; Pseudomonadota; Alphaproteobacteria; Rhodobacterales; Roseobacteraceae. The record is from RNAcentral.
AGCGGCGGACGGGUUAGUAACGCGUGGGAACGUGCCCUUCACUACGGAAUAGUCCCGGGAAACUGGGUUUAAUACCGUAUACGCCCUUUGGGGGAAAGAAUUUCGGUGAGGGAUCGGCCCGCGUUAGAUUAGGUAGUUGGUGGGGUAAUGGCCUACCAAGCCUACGAUCUAUAGCUGGUUUGAGAGGAUGAUCAGCAACACUGGGACUGAGACACGGCCCAGACUCCUACGGGAGGCAGCAGUGGGGAAUCUUAGACAAUGGGGGCAACCCUGAUCUAGCCAUGCCGCGUGAGUGAUGAAGGCCUUAGGGUCGUAAAGCUCUUUCGCCUGUGAAGAUAAUGACUGUAGCAGGUAAAGAAACCCCGGCUAACUCCGUGCCAGCAGCCGCGGUAAUACGGAGGGGGUUAGCGUUGUUCGGAAUUACUGGGCGUAAAGCGCACGUAGGCGGAUUAGUCAGUCAGAGGUGAAAUCCCAGGGCUCAACCCUGGAACUGCCUUUGAUACUGCUAGUCUUGAGUUCGAGAGAGGUAAGUGGAAUUCCGAGUGUAGAGGUGAAAUUCGUAGAUAUUCGGAGGAACACCAGUGGCGAAGGCGGCUUACU